Molecule: ribosomal RNA, 412 nt
Filed under: Burkholderiales bacterium
Lineage: Bacteria; Pseudomonadati; Pseudomonadota; Betaproteobacteria; Burkholderiales
Description: partial 23S ribosomal RNA
Rfam family: Bacterial large subunit ribosomal RNA
Source: RNAcentral
CGGCUCAUCACAUCCUGGGGCUGUAGCCGGUCCCAAGGGUAUGGCUGUUCGCCAUUUAAAGUGGUACGUGAGCUGGGUUUAAAACGUCGUGAGACAGUUUGGUCCCUAUCUGCCGUGGGCGUUGGAAAUUUGAAGGGGGCUGCUCCUAGUACGAGAGGACCGGAGUGGACGUUCCUCUGGUGUACCGGUUAUCACGCCAGUGGUAUUGCCGGGUAGCUAAGAACGGAAGAGAUAAGCGCUGAAAGCAUCUAAGCGCGAAACUUGCCUCAAGAUGAGACUUCCCGGGGGUUUAACCCCCCUAAAGGUUCGUCGAAGACUACGACGUUGAUAGGUCGGGUGUGGAAGCGCAGUAAUGCGUUAAGCUAACCGAUACUAAUUGACCGUGCGGCUUGAUCCUAUAAUUUUGAGCGUU